Molecule: transfer RNA, 69 nt
Filed under: Modiolus nipponicus
Lineage: Eukaryota; Metazoa; Mollusca; Bivalvia; Mytilida; Modiolidae
Also listed under: 1 other name
Description: tRNA-Ile
Source: RNAcentral
AGUACUGUGUGGGGGAUAAUCCAGCUGUCUUGAUGUGGCAGAGCUCAAUAGUUUAACUUUUUAGUGCUU